UGCGGAGUAGAGCAGUUCGGUAGCUCGCCAGGCUCAUAUCCUGGAGGCCGCGGGUUCAAAUCCCGCCUCCGCAA
Molecule: transfer RNA, 74 nt
Filed under: Clavibacter phage CN1A
Lineage: Duplodnaviria; Heunggongvirae; Uroviricota; Caudoviricetes
Rfam family: tRNA
About the family: Transfer RNA (tRNA) molecules are approximately 80 nucleotides in length. Their secondary structure includes four short double-helical elements and three loops (D, anti-codon, and T loops).
Source: Rfam by way of RNAcentral